AGGGCCUUAAGUUAAUCUUAGACUGCGGGCCUUCAAAGCCUGAUGUGCUUAAUGGUGGGCAGGCCCUG
RNAcentral lists this transfer RNA (68 nucleotides) under Atrina pectinata. Its description in RNAcentral is "tRNA-Trp". The record is from RNAcentral. Lineage: Eukaryota; Metazoa; Mollusca; Bivalvia; Pterioida; Pinnidae.